CACUAAGAAGCUAAUAUGGGAAUAGCAUUAGCCUUUUAAGCUAAAAAAGGUGCCCCCCAAACACCCUUAGUGA
This 73-nucleotide transfer RNA is filed under the name Lagocephalus lunaris (lunartail puffer). RNAcentral's name for it is "tRNA-Lys". The record is from RNAcentral. Lineage: Eukaryota; Metazoa; Chordata; Actinopteri; Tetraodontiformes; Tetraodontidae.